Struthio camelus australis is the source of this 344-nucleotide long non-coding RNA. The record is from Ensembl. NCBI's taxonomy places the organism in Eukaryota, Metazoa, Chordata, Aves, Struthioniformes, Struthionidae.
CUUUUCUCCUGCUUUACAAAAAUGAUCCUGGGCUGAGACAGCUGCAUUCUUCUGGGAUACUCUGCACAAGCCAGGAUAAAAGCGUGCACAAACUGGAGACAGCGCAUUCUCAGACUUCUCAGAUUUCUUCAGCAUUGACGGCUGCUGACAAAAACGGCCUCUCAAAAUCUCCCUGGCAAAAAGGGGAGAAAAAAGGAUUCCCAGCUUUGAUGUGUUGUGUUAUGGCAGCUGUGUCCUUACGGCUCUGUACAGCGGUGCCUAGCAGUCCAGAGAACUUGCUAAAUGAAAACUCCCAUUCCGAAGGACUUACGAAGACUGAAGCAUGGAAGAUGUGCUAACCUCCU